CAAUAGCGUAUACUAAAGUUGUUGCAGUUAAAAAGCUCGUAGUUGAAUUUCUGGUCGUGGCAAUCGGUCAGCCCCUCACGGGGUUCGUACCAGGUUGCUGCGUCCAUCCUCGGGGAGAGCAUAUCGGGCAUUCAGUUGUCUGGUGUGGGAUCCUCGUCAUUUACUGUGAGCAAAAUAGAGUGUUCAAAGCAGGCUUAGGCCGUUGAAUACAUUAGCAUGGAAUAAUAAGAUAGGACCUUGGUCUAUUUUGUUGGUUUGCGUUCCAAGGUAAUGAUUAAUAGGGAUAGUUGGGGGUAUUCGUAUUCAAUUGUCAGAGGUGAAAUUCUUGGAUUUAUGGAAGACGAACUACUGCGAAAGCAUUUACCAAGGAUGUUUNCAUUA
RNAcentral lists this ribosomal RNA (381 nucleotides) under uncultured eukaryote. RNAcentral's name for it is "partial 18S ribosomal RNA". It matches the Rfam family "Eukaryotic small subunit ribosomal RNA", at positions 592 to 975 of the family's 1831-position model. The record is from RNAcentral.